RNAcentral lists this unclassified non-coding RNA (200 nucleotides) under uncultured Trichosporon. Its description in RNAcentral is "sequence contains ITS2". Lineage: Eukaryota; Fungi; Basidiomycota; Tremellomycetes. The record is from RNAcentral.
UUAAGUUCAGCGGGUAGUCCUACCUGAUUUGAGGCCAGAGUCAAAAAAUUGUCCGAGGACGAUUAGAAGCACGCUUCACAAUGCCAUUCCAGCGAAACUUAUUACGCCAGAUAGCAAUAGUAAACUUGCUAACUCCUUUAAGAGGAGCCAGUUAGACUGGCAACCUCCAAAUCCAAGCCAUUAAGAAACCCUAAUGGUUG